Long non-coding RNA from Parus major (Great Tit), 762 nucleotides. RefSeq lists it as uncharacterized. NCBI's taxonomy places the organism in Eukaryota, Metazoa, Chordata, Aves, Passeriformes, Paridae. The transcript is spliced from 3 exons. The record is from RefSeq and is a predicted model, not a curated record.
UCUUUUGGGAUCCGCAGAAAUACAGAUGCAAAAGCAGGACAUGGGUAAAUGAGAGAAGAUAAGGAUUUGCCCCUGCAAGCAAAACAUCCUGUCUUCAAAAGGGAUCCUGGAGGAAGCAACACAGAGUGAUUCCACAGAGGGAAAGCCAGCACCUACAAUGGCUGUGAAGGGAAUGAGUAAAUCCUCAGACCAUGGAAUUUGGGCUUUCUGAUACAUCUGGAAUCCAGAUUGAUGAGAAGAUGAGAAGAUGAGAAGCAGGCACUCCAAUCUUGGGCAAGGCUUCCUGAGACUCAUGCCCUCCAGCACUGCUUGUUGACCUCCCCUUCAAACUCAGGACAUUGAUGGACCAUCACAAUGGACAAACCACCCUGGACCUACAUGGUUGUAAAAGCUCUAGUCAUGGCCCCGUUGGAGUUUACAGCGAUGCAUUCUUUCACUGAGAGAUUAUAUUCUCCUGAGACCAAACUUUCUGCAGGUACUUACCAGUUCUUAUGAAGUUCUUAUCUGGGGAAGAUUCUCAUGCCUAGGAUGAAAUACAUCAAAGAGCAAGAAAACUUUGACUCCACCUAGAUAAUCAUCCUGUGAUCAAGACACUGACUGGUGGCACAGGAGUCCAGAUUUCAAGUUUCUGUUCUGCAAGAUGUCAGAAACCCAUAUUCCAGGCCAGCUUUCUGGCCACAAAAUAUCAAGCUAUUCUCGUAUUCUGUCUCUCCUGUUGGACCUGUUUCACUUUGUAUAAAUAAAUAACCAUUAAUUGAACAA